This 597-nucleotide ribosomal RNA is filed under the name Pseudomonas proteolytica. RNAcentral describes it as "bacterial SSU rRNA". It matches the Rfam family "Bacterial small subunit ribosomal RNA", at positions 1 to 593 of the family's 1533-position model. Lineage: Bacteria; Pseudomonadati; Pseudomonadota; Gammaproteobacteria; Pseudomonadales; Pseudomonadaceae. The record is from RNAcentral.
GAACUGAAGAGUUUGAUCAUGGCUCAGAUUGAACGCUGGCGGCAGGCCUAACACAUGCAAGUCGAGCGGUAGAGAGAAGCUUGCUUCUCUUGAGAGCGGCGGACGGGUGAGUAAUGCCUAGGAAUCUGCCUGGUAGUGGGGGAUAACGUUCGGAAACGGACGCUAAUACCGCAUACGUCCUACGGGAGAAAGCAGGGGACCUUCGGGCCUUGCGCUAUCAGAUGAGCCUAGGUCGGAUUAGCUAGUUGGUGGGGUAAUGGCUCACCAAGGCGACGAUCCGUAACUGGUCUGAGAGGAUGAUCAGUCACACUGGAACUGAGACACGGUCCAGACUCCUACGGGAGGCAGCAGUGGGGAAUAUUGGACAAUGGGCGAAAGCCUGAUCCAGCCAUGCCGCGUGUGUGAAGAAGGUCUUCGGAUUGUAAAGCACUUUAAGUUGGGAGGAAGGGCAGUAAAUUAAUACUUUGCUGUUUUGACGUUACCGACAGAAUAAGCACCGGCUAACUCUGUGCCAGCAGCCGCGGUAAUACAGAGGGUGCAAGCGUUAAUCGGAAUUACUGGGCGUAAAGCGCGCGUAGGUGGUUAGUUAAGUUGGAU